Molecule: long non-coding RNA, 452 nt
Organism: Engraulis encrasicolus (European anchovy)
Lineage: Eukaryota; Metazoa; Chordata; Actinopteri; Clupeiformes; Engraulidae
Exons: 3
Source: RefSeq, a predicted model, not a curated record
GAGAGUUAGCAGCAGGCUGAGCUACUUGGAAACUUUGCUGGCUUUUGCAGAGCUACAGGAAGAACUUUGGCUUUUGUUACACUGGACUAACCAUGUCAGGAUAACAGUCCCUUGGAUUAUAGUCAUUGGACUCGCAAGACCAGAUUCCAACACGGGCUGACAAUUGGAAAUGGGACCUGACACUCUUGGACACAGAUGUCGGCUACGGCAGCGGCUUCAAACAUAGGCUUUGGUGACCACAUUUCUAAUCGAGAGAAUCUAGUUGUGCGAACGAGCGACAAACCAGCUGGGAGGAUGGAAGCACCUGUUCUCAAUUCCCCUUCUCCACCCGCGUUCAGUAACUAAAUACGGAUUCACCCCGUAAUAAGUCAACCGAAGACAGGGUCCUUCCAUAACCACAUACUUAUGCCAGUAAAAGCUACAGUUUUUCUCCUCCGAUCCAAGAAGCCUGG